Bubalus bubalis (water buffalo) is the source of this 418-nucleotide long non-coding RNA. RefSeq lists it as uncharacterized. The record is from RefSeq and is a predicted model, not a curated record. The transcript has 3 exons. NCBI's taxonomy places the organism in Eukaryota, Metazoa, Chordata, Mammalia, Artiodactyla, Bovidae.
UCUCAUUAUCUAAUCAAGAUCCUCCCCCUCUUAAAAGGAAAAGGAAAGGCUUCAACUCUUCUCCGAAGGUUACACCAGUUUGGUUGGAAAGCCUGCUAGCUGAUUUCUUUAAACUCCUCCUUAUUUUUAGGUUUACACACUACUGGGCGAAUCCUUGACUGCUGAGACACCCGGGAAGUGCAUCUAAAAGCAGCAAAGACUCACUAUGUUUGAGCCUCAUAACUGGAGGAUAAGGCUACCAAAAAGCAUGCUGCAAAAACCUUUUUACAUUCGCUACCGGGAUUCCCUCAUCCUCACCAGCCUGGGAUUCGUGACUUUGGCUCUGGGAAUUGCUAUCACAAUCGGAGCUUUUAACAACGUGGUUGUCCUCCUUGGGAUGACGCUUGAUUUUCUGGGUGUCCUUCUUGGUAUUUUGGGG